UCAGCAGCCGCGGUAAUACGUAGGGGGCAAGCGUUGUCCGGAAUCAUUGGGCGUAAAGGGCGCGUAGGCGGGCAAAUAAGUCUGAUGUGAAAGUGCGGAGCUUAACUCCGUAAAGCAUUGGAAACUGUUUGUCUUGAGGACAGGAGAGGAAAGUGGAAUUCCACGUGUAGCGGUGAAAUGCGUAGAGAUGUGGAGGAACACCAGUGGCGAAGGCGACUUUCUGGACUGUAACUGACGCUGAGGCGCGAAAGCGUGGGGAGCGAACAGGAUUAGAUACCCUGGUAGUCCACGCCGUAAACGAUGAGUGCUAGGUGUAGAGGGUAUCGACCCCUUCUGUGCCGCAGUUAACACAAUAAGCACUCCGCCUGGGGAGUACGGCCGCAAGGUUGAAACUCAAAGGAAUUGACGGGGGCCCGCACA
Molecule: ribosomal RNA, 420 nt
Filed under: uncultured bacterium
Lineage: Bacteria
Description: bacterial SSU rRNA
Rfam family: Bacterial small subunit ribosomal RNA
Source: RNAcentral